GAGUUUGAUCCUGGCUCAGGACGAACGCUGGCGGCAUGCUUAACACAUGCAAGUCGAACGGACUGAUUCCUUCGGGAUGAAAGUUAGUGGCGAACGGGUGAGUAAUGUAUGAGCAACCUGCCUCUGUCAACGGGAUAACAGUCGGAAACGACUGCUAAUACGGUAUAUGACCACAGCACCGCAUGAUGCAGCGGUAAAAGAUUUUAUCGGACAGAGAUGGGCUCAUAUCCCCAUUAGGUAGUUGGUGAGAUAACAGCCCACCAAGCCGACGAUGGGUAGCCGAGCUGAGAGGCUGAUCGGCCACAUUGGGACUGAAACACGGCCCAGACUCCUACGGGAGGCAGCAGUGGGGAAUAUUGGGCAAUGGAGGCAACUCUGACCCAGCAAUGCCGCGUGAGUGAUGAAGGUGGUUUCAUUGUAAA
RNAcentral lists this ribosomal RNA (422 nucleotides) under uncultured bacterium. Its description in RNAcentral is "bacterial SSU rRNA". It matches the Rfam family "Bacterial small subunit ribosomal RNA", at positions 9 to 429 of the family's 1533-position model. The record is from RNAcentral.